AAGGAUCAUUAGUGAAUAUAGGACGUCCAACUUAACUUGGAGUCCGAACUCUCACUUUCUAACCCUGUGCACUUGUUUGGGAUAGUAACUCUCGCAAGAGAGCGAACUCCUAUUCACUUAUAAACACAAAGUCUAUGAAUGUAUUAAAUUUUAUAACAAAAUAAAACUUUCAACAACGGAUCUCUUGGCUCUCGCAUCGAUGAAGAACGCAGCGAAAUGCGAUAAGUAAUGUGAAUUGCAGAAUUCAGUGAAUCAUCGAAUCUUUGAACGCACCUUGCGCUCCAUGGUAUUCCGUGGAGCAUGCCUGUUUGAGUGUCAUGAAUACUUCAACCCUCCUCUUUCUUAAUGAUUGAAGAGGUGUUUGGUUUCUGAGCGCUGCUGGCCUUUACGGUCUAGCUCGUUCGUAAUGCAUUAGCAUCCGCAAUCGAACUUCGGAUUGACUUGGCGUAAUAGACUAUUCGCUGAGGAAUUCUAGUCUUCGGACUAGAGCCGGGUUGGGUUAAAGGAAGCUUCUAAUCAGAAUGUCUACAUUUUAAGAUUAGAUCUCAAAUCAGGUAGGACUACCCGCUGAACUUAAGCAUA
This 582-nucleotide ribosomal RNA is filed under the name fungal sp. HZ30. RNAcentral describes it as "eukaryotic LSU rRNA". The stretch from base 165 to 318 matches the Rfam family "5.8S ribosomal RNA". The record is from RNAcentral. Lineage: Eukaryota; Fungi.